UGUAUGUCCAGAAAUUUCACAAAAAAGACAAAAACCUGCUAAUGGUUAUCAAAAUAGAUGGCAAAAUAAAAUAAUCUGCUGCUUGAUGAUUACAUUUAUUACUGGAAAUAAACGACGAAGAAGUGGAUCAGAUGGAUGUACCAUGUCUAAAAAGUGUGACGCCUAUGUGGUCCUUAAUCAAGACAAAACUGCUAUAGUCGAACCUAAACAUACUCAUCUAAAGAAAACUGUCAUUAAGACUACUUCUAUUGAAUGUUUGCUGAUGACGCUGGACUUUGAAUAUUUGUAUGAAAAACUACAAUUCCACUAAUACGGUGUUCCAGUAUUAAAAAGAUCUUAGAUGCCAACAAAGGCGUUUUAUCGGAAGAAAAUCCUCAGAUUUUAAUCUGGAAGGUGUGCUCAGUUAAUUUAAAGCAAAAAUAAAUGAUUUUAUAAUAUUUUGUUGUAAACAUUUAAGGUCUUCUAAUUACUUUGUCAUCUUUAAUUAACAUAUAAAAUUUAUUAAAAAUAAGCCUGUGCUGUAAGCAACUAGCAAAGUCCUGAUAAUAGUAUACUUGUUAUGGUAACUUUGUUGCAGAAAAACUUGAGCUUAUUCGGAUGGUUAACGGAAAAGUAGUGGUUCUAUACGAUGGGUAUACAUUCUACAAGAAACACGUUUCCCGGAGAGCUGAGCAGUGGUACUGCACUUCGUCAGGGAACUGCAGAAGUCGGGUCACGGCCGACAAACAAGGCAACAUCAUAUCGGUUUAUAUGGAUCAUAGUCAUGAGAAGCAGGUCCUUGUUUUAUCCAGUACAGGUGCCUAUGCUAAGAUGAGAUCUUCAAUAUAAGGAUACAUUAUUCCUUUCGAAUACAUUGGGAGAGGGAAGAGAAGAAUGAAGAAGCAAGAAGUGGAUAUAAUUAAAUCAUUAAGGGGACAAGAAAUUCUGAUAAGAUAUGGCUUUAGAUACAAUAAGCAUCGCUUGAAUAAGAGUGGUGUUACAGUGUGGCGGUGUGUUAACCGGAGUAUGUGUAAGGCAUUUCUAAGUUUGAGUGUUGACUUCAGUGUUAUUAAAGAAGCUUCUCAUACCUGUCAUUGGUGAAGCGAAGGAUUUUAAAACAUUAUAGCAAAGAAGAUUUUUUCUUUUCGGUGAAUGAAUAUAACCAUUAUUAUCAUCGGUAUUUUUAUAUGAGCAGCUCUGCCAAACGAAUAAAUAUUCGAGUACUGA
This is a long non-coding RNA of Leptidea sinapis, 1206 nucleotides long. RefSeq lists it as uncharacterized. Lineage: Eukaryota; Metazoa; Arthropoda; Insecta; Lepidoptera; Pieridae. The transcript has 2 exons. The record is from RefSeq and is a predicted model, not a curated record.